This 204-nucleotide long non-coding RNA is filed under the name Lathyrus oleraceus (garden pea). RNAcentral's name for it is "Pisum sativum (pea) long non-coding RNA (PSAT_LNC025101)". The record is from RNAcentral. Lineage: Eukaryota; Viridiplantae; Streptophyta; Magnoliopsida; Fabales; Fabaceae.
AAGAGGGAGGGGAAAUGGAUCAAACUCAAAUUGGACAAAGGAGGACUUUUACCAAGUUAAGAUCAUUCAUUCAUUUUGGGAGAUGGAAUGUACAUUCCAUCAAUCCCCUAAAUCCAAUGAUCUUAAUCUAACAAAGUCAAAUCAACCUUGACCAAGGCCCAACAACACAAGUCAAACUCACAAAGGCAAUUAGAAUGGCUCAAC